RNAcentral lists this ribosomal RNA (261 nucleotides) under uncultured bacterium. Its description in RNAcentral is "partial 16S ribosomal RNA". It matches the Rfam family "Bacterial small subunit ribosomal RNA", at positions 524 to 776 of the family's 1533-position model. The record is from RNAcentral.
UACGAAGGGGGCUAGGCGUUGCUCGGAAUCACUGGGCGUAAAGCGCACGUAGGCGGGUCGUUAAGUCAGGGGUGAAAUCCUGGAGGCUCAAACUCCAGAACUGCCCCUUGAUACUGGCGAUCUCGAGUUCGGGAGAUGGGUGAGUGGAACUGCGAAGUGUAGAGGUGAAAUUCGUAGAUAUUCGCAAGAACACCAGUGGCGAAGGCGGCUUACUGGUCCGGUUCUGACGCUGAGGCGCGAAAGCGUGGGGGAGCAAACAGG